GUUUGAAUAUAUUGAACUAUGAAACUUUCUUCCGUCUAAUUCGUUGGCUAAAGUAUUUGGAAAGGCGGAAUAUAAAAAAAAAAAUGAAUAUGGAAAGAUAAAUAUGAAACUUUUCUUCCUCAUUUUAAGAAUCGGCAGAGGGAGUCUACUACUUAAAUAUACUUCGAUGAUCGAAAUUUUACAACCAAACUAUGCGUGAGACCCUACUUGUAACAAUAGACUGGAUUCUAAAAAGCGUUCGACUUGCUAAAGAUACCGACCAAAUCAUACUCCAUCGUUUUAAAGGAGGGGAAGCACAUAUUUGAUAAUAUAAACCUAGACACCCUCCCCAAAAGAUGAUAACUGAAAUUUGCUUGGUCACAGCUGUCUUAAUGCUGCCCAUUACUACUGCAAGGAGUGAAUCACUGAGAGACGAUAAGAUACCGGUACUUGAUGUAUUAUUUGGUGAAUCAAUGAAUUCUUAAAACAAAACUGUCAAUUCUUUUUAAUAGUCAAACAGUCGCGAGUGUUAGUUUUUAUUUAUUAUGCUUCACAAUCCAUUCCUUCUGUACGUGAACGAUAUGGAAAAUUUCUUUGGUGAUAUUAAAUUGUUUUGGAGAAAAAAAAUCUUGUUUUGGUUAAAAUGAAGACAAUUUAUUAAUAUGAUGAUAUCCAAAAUAAUAUGCUUUUAAAAUACGUUUGCAAAUAUGAAAUUUUAUCGACAAAUAAUUGGAGAAUUCAGAAAUGGAAAUGAUGUGUAGUGUGAAAUGAGUUAAGAUAUUUCAUAGAGGAAAGUUAAUUAAUGUGUUAAUUUUUCCAGUAUGAAUGUACCCUGUACAAACAGUUACCAGAAUAAAUAGUGUUUCCCUUUAA
This is a long non-coding RNA of Octopus sinensis (East Asian common octopus), 852 nucleotides long. RefSeq lists it as uncharacterized. Lineage: Eukaryota; Metazoa; Mollusca; Cephalopoda; Octopoda; Octopodidae. The transcript has 2 exons. The record is from RefSeq and is a predicted model, not a curated record.